GUCGGCUUGGCUCGAAGCGGGCAAGGCAAGCACCGUUUAAUUGCUUCGAGCGAAUGCCCGGCCUCUUUCCGGGGCAAUAUUGGGAAAGAGAGAAGGCUACGACGUGCUGCCCGUCCGAAACGAUGGGCAUGCAUGGCAAGACAUUUUCACAGACGGAUAUUUUUCAUAAACAAGGUCAUUUGAGAGCCACUUUGGGGGUACCGCAAGGUACGCCCCAUUCUUGCUUCGGAGA
RNAcentral lists this small RNA (232 nucleotides) under Sinorhizobium meliloti 2011. RNAcentral describes it as "putative ncRNA". The record is from RNAcentral. Lineage: Bacteria; Pseudomonadati; Pseudomonadota; Alphaproteobacteria; Hyphomicrobiales; Rhizobiaceae.